GGGAAUUUUCCGCAAUGGGCGAAAGCCUGACGGAGCAAUGCCGCGUGAAGGAUGAAGGCCUAUGGGUUGUAAACUUCUUUUCUCAGAGAAGAAUUUUGACGGUAUCUGAGGAAUAAGCAUCGGCUAACUCUGUGCCAGCAGCCGCGGUAAGACAGAGGAUGCAAGCGUUAUCCGGAAUGAUUGGGCGUAAAGCGUCUGUAGGUGGCUUAAAAAGUCUCCUGUCAAAGAUCAGGGCUUAACCCUGGGCCGGCAGGAGAAACUCUUAGGCUAGAGUUUGGUAGAGGCAGAGGGAAUUCCCGGUGGAGCGGUGAAAUGCGUAGAGAUCGGGAGGAACACCAAAGGCGAAAGCACUCCGCUGGGCCACAACUGACACUGAGAGACGAAAGCGAGGGGAGCAAAAGGGAUUAGAUACCCCUGUAGUC
RNAcentral lists this ribosomal RNA (422 nucleotides) under uncultured cyanobacterium. Its description in RNAcentral is "bacterial SSU rRNA". It matches the Rfam family "Bacterial small subunit ribosomal RNA", at positions 357 to 795 of the family's 1533-position model. Lineage: Bacteria; Bacillati; Cyanobacteriota. The record is from RNAcentral.